RNAcentral lists this ribosomal RNA (250 nucleotides) under uncultured bacterium. RNAcentral describes it as "partial 16S ribosomal RNA". It matches the Rfam family "Bacterial small subunit ribosomal RNA", at positions 28 to 271 of the family's 1533-position model. The record is from RNAcentral.
GAUGAACGCUAGCGGCAGGCUUAAUACAUGCAAGUCGUGGGGCAGCAGGUUUGUAGCAAUACAGAUGCUGGCGACCGGCAAACGGGUGCGGAACACGUACGCAACCUUCCAUUAAGUGGGGAAUAGCCCAGGGAAACUUGGAUUAAUACCCCGUAACAUUACGAAGUGGCAUCACUUUGUACUUAUAGCUCCGGCGCUUAAUGAUGGGCGUGCGUCUGAUUAGGUAGUUGGCGGGGUAACGGCCCACCAA